GGGCUUACGAUCCUGUUCCGGUACGAUCACUGAAGUUAAGCAACAUCAAGCCUGGUCAGUACCUAGAUGAGUGACGGCUUGUGAAUACCAGGUGCUGUAA
This is a non-coding RNA of Acanthosepion pharaonis, 100 nucleotides long. The record is from the annotation of a GenBank genome assembly. Lineage: Eukaryota; Metazoa; Mollusca; Cephalopoda; Sepiida; Sepiidae.